UGACACGUUGGCUCUGCUCCUGCUCAUGCGCGGCCUGGGGCGCCCUUCUCUGACGCGAUUCUAACGCGACCCCGGAAGCGCGCAGCGAGCAGAGGACCCUGCAUUCAGAUGCAGCAGAUGACACCAC
Long non-coding RNA from Homo sapiens (human), 127 nucleotides. Lineage: Eukaryota; Metazoa; Chordata; Mammalia; Primates; Hominidae. The record is from Ensembl.